This 358-nucleotide ribosomal RNA is filed under the name uncultured bacterium. Its description in RNAcentral is "bacterial SSU rRNA". It matches the Rfam family "Bacterial small subunit ribosomal RNA", at positions 917 to 1271 of the family's 1533-position model. The record is from RNAcentral.
GGGCCUGCACAAGCGGUGGAGUAUGUGGCUUAAUUCGAUGCAACGCGAAGAACCUUACCUGGCCUUGACAUGUAGUGGACCGGGUGCGAAAUCACCCUUUUCUUCGGAACUGCUACACAGGUGCUGCAUGGCUGUCGUCAGCUCGUGUCGUGAGAUGUUGGUUAAGUCCCGCAACGAGCGCAACCCCCGUGUUCUGUUGCCACCCAGAUGUAAAUCUGGAGCACUCUGGACAGACUGCCUGGUUUCAACUAGGAGGAAGGUGGGGAUGACGUCAAGUCAGUAUGGCCCUUACGGCCAGGGCUGCACACGUACUACAAUGCCUGAUAUAAUGGGAAGCAAGACCGCGAGGUGGAGCAAA